Manis javanica (Malayan pangolin) is the source of this 1140-nucleotide non-coding RNA. Lineage: Eukaryota; Metazoa; Chordata; Mammalia; Pholidota; Manidae. The record is from RefSeq and is a predicted model, not a curated record.
GGAAGGAAGAUUUCCUUUUAAGCUUCUCAUCAACCAGCUUUCAUUUCUUUCAAAUGUCACUUCUCAGUAACACCUUCCUAUAUUCUCUGUUGGGAGAAUUUGUAUCACAUGCACAAGGGGACCUGGAGCCUGGAAUACAAGGAAAAGUCUGGAAUGGAAUCAUACAACUGAACAGGACUCUCCUGCCGUGUCGCUGUGUGUCUGGUAAACAAAGUAGAACUCACAGCUAUAGGUCGGGCACUAGAAUCACGUCUGCAUCCAGCAGUCUGAGGUCUCCUUGACUUGCCUCUCCAGGUGUGGAAUCACUGCGUCAUGAGCUGGGGCAAAGGAGUUUGAGUCUCCAGUAUUCUCAAUGCUCAAGGCAGAGCCUUCCACAAAUGGGGCAGAAGAAUGGCACACACAGUUUGAAAAUCAUUUUGACAAGACUCGUUUUUAUACCACAUUCCAAUGUAAAAGGUAACUGAAGUAAUUCAUGUAACAUGGCUUGGAUCAGAGCAGACUAAUGAGUGAGUAGAAAUGUAUUAUGGAACUGCAGGUCAAGCACUAGAAAUUUUUGUCUGAAACAAGCACUGCACUGCCUCCUGGUGUGGGUGGCAUUCUACUUUUCCAAAGGAACCAGAGAAAGUAAAGGAAUACGAUUUGAUUAUUUUGGAUCUGUACUGUCACAGAUGAAAGAUUUUACUGUCAACUCUGAAAAAGCAACUUGUACCCACUGCAAACCUACCCGGCCGGAGGCUAUUAAAAGAUUCUGUGUGUUGAAUGUUUGAGGCCCAGGUUGGGAUUUCAUCUCAUGCUAUGGGAUUGGCUCACGGUUGCAAUUUACAGUUUGUGACCAUGAUAGCCAGCUGACCACAGAAGUGCUAAGGUGAGGGAAUGCCGAACAAGAGGAAAACCAGCGCUGGUCUCUGGAUCAAAAUUAACUACCAACAAAGAGUUAGGAAAUGGAUCAAUGGCCAGGGAAGCAUUUUGGUGACCACUGCCCAAAGCUGCAGCCCCAGUGCAGUUGCUGAUAACCUUGUCAGCCCUCCAAAUAAAGGCACAUCUUGUCACCCUCAGGCACCUGGGCCAGAGGUAAUAAAACGGUUGACUUAUAAGGGUGGAGUCAGUCAAACCUCAGCCUCCGUAAUUAAAGAAAACUGA